CCUACGUGGGGCUGCAGUGGGGAAUAUUGGACAAUGGGCGAAAGCCUGAUCCAGCCAUGCCGCGUGUGUGAAGAAGGCCUUCGGGUUGUAAAGCACUUUCAGUGGGGAAGAAAGCCUUGGGGCUAAUACCCUCGAGGAAGGACAUCACCCACAGAAGAAGCACCGGCUAACUCCGUGCCAGCAGCCGCGGUAAUACGGAGGGUGCGAGCGUUAAUCGGAAUUACUGGGCGUAAAGCGCGCGUAGGCGGUCUGAUAAGCCGGUUGUGAAAGCCCCGGGCUCAACCUGGGAACGGCAUCCGGAACUGUCAGGCUAGAGUGCAGGAGAGGAAGGUAGAAUUCCCGGUGUAGCGGUGAAAUGCGUAGAGAUCGGGAGGAAUACCAGUGGCGAAGGCGGCCUUCUGGACUGACACUGACGCUGAGGUGCGAAAGCGUGGGUAGCAAACAGGAUUAGAUACCCGUGUAGUC
Molecule: ribosomal RNA, 465 nt
Filed under: Vreelandella stevensii
Lineage: Bacteria; Pseudomonadati; Pseudomonadota; Gammaproteobacteria; Oceanospirillales; Halomonadaceae
Description: partial 16S ribosomal RNA
Rfam family: Bacterial small subunit ribosomal RNA
Source: RNAcentral